This 346-nucleotide ribosomal RNA is filed under the name uncultured bacterium. RNAcentral describes it as "bacterial SSU rRNA". It matches the Rfam family "Bacterial small subunit ribosomal RNA", at positions 28 to 334 of the family's 1533-position model. The record is from RNAcentral.
GAUAAACGCUGGCGGCGCACAUAAGACAUGCAAGUCGAACGGAAGUCGUUAUAAAAAGGAUUGAAGAUUUAUCUAAUUGAGAUUUUAUAACAAUGGCUUUAGUGGCGGACUGGUGAGUAACGCGUGAGUAACCUGCCCAAGAGACUGGGAUAACACCUGGAAACAGAUGCUAAUACCGGAUAACAACACUAGACGCAUGUCUAGAGUUUGAAAGAUGGUUCUGCUAUCACUCUUGGAUGGACCUGCGGUGCAUUAGCUAGUUGGUAAGGUAACGGCUUACCAAGGCAAUGAUGCAUAGCCGAGUUGAGAGACUGAUCGGCCACAUUGGGACUGAGACACGGCCCAA